AUUGAACGCUGGCGGCAGGCUUAACACAUGCAAGUCGAGCGGUAGCACAGGGGAGCUUGCUCCCUGGGUGACGAGCGGCGGACGGGUGAGUAAUGUCUGGGAAACUGCCUGAUGGAGGGGGAUAACUACUGGAAACGGUAGCUAAUACCGCAUAACGUCGCAAGACCAAAGAGGGGGACCUUCGGGCCUCUUGCCAUCAGAUGUGCCCAGAUGGGAUUAGCUAGUAGGUGGGGUAAUGGCUCACCUAGGCGACGAUCCCUAGCUGGUCUGAGAGGAUGACCAGCCACACUGGAACUGAGACACGGUCCAGACCCCUACGGGAGGCAGCAGUGGGGAAUAUUGCACAAUGGGCGCAAGCCUGAUGCAGCCAUGCCGCGUGUGUGAAGAAGGCCUUCGGGUUGUAAAGCACUUUCAGCGAGGAGGAAGGUGGUGAGCUUAAUACGCUCAUCAAUUGACGUUACUCGCAGAAGAAGCACCGGCUAACUCCGUG
This 490-nucleotide ribosomal RNA is filed under the name uncultured bacterium. Its description in RNAcentral is "partial 16S ribosomal RNA". It matches the Rfam family "Bacterial small subunit ribosomal RNA", at positions 30 to 507 of the family's 1533-position model. The record is from RNAcentral.